GAAUAUUAUAAAUUAUGAUAAACAACAAGAGAAGAAUGAAUAUCAAGGCAGCCAUUUUACAUUAUUCGCGCGCAUGCGAUUAUUUUUCAGAAAUAUCACAUUAAAUGAUUACAGAUUUUUAUUCUUCGUAUAAAAUGAUUAAGCUUUUUAUGCAUGUGAAAUAUAAUUUAAAAGCAUGUACAACUUUUUAAUUCGCUAAUAUCAAAUACGAUGUCGCAAUAAAUAAUAUAUAAAAUUGUUAGAGUAUUUGUGAAACGGUUAAGCUGUCUCGCAGUUGUCUGGCCGUCUAGUCCGACUUUGUCAGGGUCGUUCCAAAGAAUGAGUAUCGUGAUGAUUAUUUCAUAUUUGUUCUUUCACUAAGUUUGAAAGAAGUGUUAAUAGGAAGAACAUCCCUUUCUAUCGUCUUAGAUAGAUAUAUCAGAAAUGAUACGUCCCAAUAUUUCUUUUGAGCAAAAAAAAAAAUGAAAGUCAUUAAUUUAUCUUUCCGGAUAUACAUAAAAAAAGAAUUACAAUUAAAAAAAAUUAAUUAUAUAUUUUUUUUGUUUUUUUAUAAUCAUUGUCACAUUAAUAAAUUUUGGAAAGAUUAUGAAAAAGAUUUAUAUUUUCUCAUAAUUAAAAAACAUUAAUGUUGAAAAUGUGAACAGAUAAUUCGUAAAAAAGUUAUGCAUGAGAAUUAUGUCCUUAAGCAAAAAAUAAUAAAAAAUAUCGAAUUAAACAUUACAACGGAAAUAUAUUCUCAGAAUUUAAUGCUUUUAUAUUUUUUCUUUUUUUCAUUUAUUUGAAAUUAAUUUUUUAAUAUUUUUCAUAAAAAAAAUGAUAGAUUUAUUCAACAUAUUUUUCUCAUUUUCAUAGAAUAUAGACAUGCAAGAUUUUUAGAGAAUAAUUAACAUACUUUCUCGAUCUGAUUUCCAUUUUUUCAACAUCAAUUUUUUCAAAUUUUUAUUUUUUAUUAAAAAGCUUCAUUAUUUUAUUAAUUUUUUUCUAUAAAAAUAUAAAUUAAAAUGUUAUAGUAAAAAUACAAAGGUAAGAAAUUUUAUCAAUUAAUUUCAUUUAACACUAUGUUUAUGAGAUGUACAUGAAUUGCAUAGAAAUAUGCAUAGAAAUGAAGUUGCAUAUACAUAGAGAAAAAAGGAGAAAAAAAUAGAAUAUACAAAUGAUGUUUCAUUGUAACAGAGAAGAGUAGUUGAAAAACAAAAUGAAAUAAUGAUCAUGUUUAAAUAUACUAAUUAAUCGAAUAGAAUAGAUGAAUGCAAGUAUUUUUUUGAAUAUCUGUUUAACAAAUAUAUAUCAAUAUCUGUUUCCAAAAUUUAUUUUAUUUGAAAAUUUGUAUUAUAUUUGCAUUAUGAUUCUAUAUCUUUGAAUUUCUUUUGGUUCAUCCUAUGAAAUGACUAAUUACUUUUUAAUUAUGCGAGUAAUUUAUCACUGUAUCAUUGUCAUGUUAUUUUAUUUAAUGCCAUAAGUCGAAUUAUGGGUUUCAUUAUAAAAAUAAUAUAUGAAAUCUUAUUUAUAUAUGGAUAUAAAUAUAAAGAUGAGAGUGCGUUAUUCAAUAAUGUAGAAUUUUGUAGGAGUAGGGUGCGUUGAUCGAUGAACACGGCCCUGCAGACAGUACGUAUCCCUUUCCCCUACCAACGUCGGACUAACCACCAAACCUUCACCACAUCUCCCAUCUGCCUUGGUACGUUAUUGGCACUGGCUAAUGGCUGAUGCGAAUUUGCCGUGGUUCGACAGAGAGAGACACUAGCAGGAAUCACGAUAAAGCAUGUAGAAUAAAGAAUACGAAGAAGGAAAAACAGGAAAGAGUAGAGGAGUAUUUUGUAUCUUCGUUGCACAUUGUUUCGAAAUAGAACAAAAGAUGUAGAAAAAAUAAUUACGAAUAAAAAAAAAUGUAAUUAACUUAACUUAAACUUCGUUUUGAGGAUACAAAAUUUUUAAUUUAUUUUUAUGUUUUUUUAUAAUAUUUAACAAGUAAAAUCUAAAAAUAUAAGUUUUAAUGUUAGAAAAUACAAUGUAAGAAAUACAAUGUAUUUCCUAACACAUAACAUAAAUACGUUAUUAUUCCUAACGUAUAAUAUAUAAAUACAUUAAUAAAAAUUAUAAAUAUUUAAACAUAAUUCUAUUGUUAAUCUAAACCUUUUGAAAUGACACGUAUGAUAGAUUUAAGUAAAAAUUCGUUUUUUUAAUUUUUUUUUUAUAUUUCUAAUGAUAAAGACACUUAUUAUAAUAGAAAAUGGCAGAAAAAUAUUUCGAAAAAAUAUAGGAGCAAGAUAAAUGAAAUGAAUAAUAAAUGAAUAAUAAAUAUAAAUAAUAACUAUAUAUAUAUAUUAUAUGAUUGCUUUUCAUAUUACGCUGCCGCAAUCUAUUCCAUCUAGUAAUAGCUAGUUUCCAGGGCAAAUAAUUGCCUAAUGUACAAAUUUCAGCUUUGAUUGCCAUUAACUAAUCAACGAGAUUGGACCAAGUUCCUUUUGAACCUAUUUACUGGAAAAUCGACCUAGAAGCGCGAUCAAAGAGCAUGGUUUCGUCUGCGUUUAUAUUCCGUACGAAGAAGUAGAUGUGACCUAUGUUUGAUCAGCCAUCGAUAUACAAUUUCUAUUCGAUUUGUCAUUGUUUUGGCUAUCUAUAGGGUAAUGACCAUCGAGAAAAAAAGACAAUUCAAUUUUAUUAUUUCAAGUGGACCAUAUCCAAAUGUCUUCGUCUGUGUUCGAGAUAGUUGAUUUCAUUGGCGCAAUGGAUACAUGAAUCAUCGGCGAAUAAAACAUUAAAUCGAGAUGGUAUAAUAACGAAAGCGUUUGCAAGAUAUCACGAUAUUAUUCUAAAACGUUAAGAUGUAGAAUUAAUUUAGAUGCUCUUGUAUAAUAAUUUCAUCAUUUUAAGAUUUUAAAAAGUUGCAUUCAUUGUCAUUGUAAAAAUUGUGUGCAUAGAUUAUUCUAGAAUGAGAUACAUUCUUGUUGUUUAACGAAUAUUUUUCUCAAGAAAAGAAGACCAUGAUAGUACACGUAGUGCUGAACUUAACGACGACAUUGCUUGCUCGAAAAUUAUCUAUAGAGGACAUUCGAUAUCUCUUUCACGACAGCUUUAUUCUGAUCAGAUUCUAUAAGCAUGUAAUAUUUUUCAGAAACGAAUGCAUAUAUCAACGCAUUUGCAUAAAUCUUAAUCUUCCUUUAAGAAGUCCAAUCAUUUCUCAGAAUAGAGAACUUGCUUCUUGCUCACGUUGCAACUUUUAUUUCGCGACAAUAACUAUUCGUAUUUCUAUCUGGAUGUCUGGACACGUAACGAAUGUAGAAUGUUAUCAAGCUUGAGAGGAGUCGUAUGAAUAUCUGACUUCUGCAGAGUAUUCACACGAUACAUUCGUCAGUAUAGCAUAGCGGACCGUGGAGUAAUUACUAAAUGAGAUCUCGUUCAAGGGAUAAGCUUCUCCGAAAGACGGUACAGGUGUUAAAGAGAAGUCAAGCUUGAAAGUUUUAUACGAGAAUGUAGUGGUUGAUUCAUAAUGGCGAUAGUGUAUGCACGGUGUCAAAAACUGGAUAACGGUAGUACGAACGUUGUAUGUAAUGUUUCGUGCAUUGUGCCAGAUCAGUACGAUAAUAAUCGUUCGAACUAGACUGGCAGCCAAGCAGUCCAGCGGUAAGCAAAACGCAAGUAGCAGCGCCGGCUACGAGCUAUUCGUUCAGUUCGUUCGUCGGGUGAAGGACCCAGUCUCUCCCUCUUCCUUCUCCCUCCCUCCACUUCUCUCCCACAUUCCCCUUCCACGGGAAAUGAUCGUUCUCUAUCUAGCUUGCAUGUAUUUCUCUCGAUCUCUUUCUUUCUUCCUCUUCGUUAUCCAUUCGUCCUUUCUUGCUUUCUCUUGAUGCUUCUCUCUCUGUCUGUCCCCACUGCAGACCCAUCCCCUUGUCACCUAUCUGCCUCCAGUCAUCCUCUCCCCCUCCCCUUGGCACCCCACUGGUCCGUCCUCCAUCACCAGCCAUCUCUGCAAUUCUACUGCCGCAGUCCAUACACAUCAAACGAUACCACCUGGUUUCUCAAAUUGCGACGUCCACUGGAUCCAAAUGAAAUUACACACAAUCCUACCAGCUCCCACUAGCUUUUUCAUUUUCUUCUUGCUCUCGCGGAAUUUAGACACGUUUGAACUGGCAAUGAAGAUUUUUCACGGUUUUCACGAUUCGAGCUGCUAUUACCUUUUAUAUCUUUUUCGAAGAAGUCAUUAAAAUUUGUCGUACUUUUCGUCGAUAAUCUUCGCAAUAUACUAUCUGAUUAUUGUCGCAAAAAUAAGGUGCAAUUUUUAUCUUCAUCAUUUUAAAGUCAAUGCGAAGAAAAGCUUCUAUCCAUCUUUAUUAUAUUGAUAUAUGCGGUCUUUCUCUUUUUACAAUGCAUCCAAUGUUUCCUUUUACAUUCUCUCAAAGUGAAUCGGCUAUUAUACUUUUGUAAUCACUCGACAUCUAUGGGUAGAAUGCUGUAAAUUCGUGGUCGUAAAAUUAUAUUGCUAAAUGAAUUCAGUUGCACGAAUAAAUAUGACUUCAAGUCGCGUGCUGCAUAACGAGACAAAAGAGUUCCUUUGUAUGAAACCGAUUUGUAAACUAAAAAUCUCGUCAAUUCGAUUGGCUGAUUUAUUAAUUGAUAUUCAAUGAAAACGUUUUGAUUCCCCGUGACUCUUUAAAGAACCCCCUCUCCUCUUUGCGUCAAAAGAAGUUUUAUAUUACGCUCAUAGCUUACAUUUCCAUUUAGCUUCGAUUUCAGAACACUUUAAAAGUUCUUCGAUAAUUGGACGCACAAUAUUCCUGAAGAUAUAGAAAGAGUAAAGUAAUAUCAAAACCAUAAUACGAUAAUAUUACUUUUGCGCGCGUUGCAAUUUCUAUGAGGCAAGAAAGAGAUUGGCGCCGGGCGCUUCCAAUUGCACCAGAUCGCGUAAUAACACGACUAAGGACUACGUGCAUAUAUCCGUACAUGUAUACCGCAAAGUCUUCAGAAUAUCGAAGCAUUAAUACCACGACGAAACGAAGCCCUCGAGUAUGCGCGUUUCGCUGCAACAAUUUCCUUGAUCGAUAGUUUUGCCAACAAAUAGAAACGUUCUCUAUAUCUUUCUAUUCGCAUAAAAAUAAAAUUCGAGCAAUCGAAUCGAUUAUUAUAAAUCUUUAUUAUUAUUUAAUUCGAUUACUAUUUAAUCUUGUACAAAUUUAAUAAAAUUUAAUAAAAAAUUUACUAAAAAAAUUGUCGCAGUCUAAAUUAGUCUAAAAUUACUUUAAACGUCGUUAACAUUUACGUCUUAAAAAGAUGGCAAUUAGUAUAUACAUAAUUUCACUACGCGAGGAGAUGUUUCAUGAUUUCUGAGAACGAGCUAAAUUUUGGUGUAUUCCGUAGUCGAUGGUCCCGCGACACUUAAACAUUCGCAAAGGCAGGACCGUGAAUUGCACGCACGGAUAAAGGCGCGACCGUGGCGAUUCCGACAGGAAUUCCCGAUGAGAUGGGCGGAAAGUACAAAGGUUCGACGCGCUUCGGCGGUUCUCGGUACGGUGGGCUUCCGGUCGAAUUCGGCUAGCUCCGAUCGGCCUCGUGCGCACUCGUCUAGGAUCGGGCCGCCCAGUGGGAUCUACAUCGUCAGAACGGGUAGUAGCGGCGCGCCGCGAGACCGGCAGUUUUGCGCCCCGUGCAACGGCCAAUCGGCCAGUUCGUCGCCGGCUGUUCGUGAAAGAGUGUCGAGUUACAUCAGCAAAUAUUGUCCAAAAUCGAGCUGCCUACUCGAAGAACUACGCAGCGUUCUUUUCAAAUAAGAAUCGAUUGGUAAACGUGUACCGGCCAAACGAGACGCAAAAGAAUGUACGAUUCGCGAAAACAGUCGCAUUGCCGUUAGAUGAGUCACAAUUCUCGACAAACGCCUCUGUUCAACGAAUGCAUCGACUUUCACGGAUGUGUAUAACCGCGCGAGUUGGUUGGUCUCUUCUACGGAAUCUUGACUCAUCCACCGGACUUACAGCGGAAGUUUCUUAACGGUCGUGACAUAGGUUCAUUCUGCACAGGAGAUAUAUAAGUACAUGGUCUCGACGUCAGACUUCCGGUAAAGAUUAUGUCGAAGUCGAAAGGUCUGUUUUACCCGUUAAGUGGGAUCAUCGAACGUGUGUACGCGAUCGAUUUUACAUCGUACUAUCGGACUCUGAUUUUACGCACUGCACGCUUUAAAUUCCAGCAGAGGCUCAGUUGAUGAGGAAAAAGUUUCAUUUAUUGGUAAAGGUUCGAUAUUGGAUCGAUACCGAUAUUAGAUAUCGUAAGGAGACCACCGUGCUAGUUAUCGCGGACAGGCUACAACCGGUUUUGUACUUUGGUCGACGAGAAAUAAUUGCAGACACGAAGUACGAAUUCACUUGGUAUAGAGAUUCAGACAGCAUUCAAGCAAUCGAGAUUAUCGAUGGCGUAUAGUAUGUUAGAUGGUAACAAUGUCGGAAGGAGUGGCGGCGGCGUUAUUGGCGUCGAUGAAGCCGAAACACGAAUCGGGGAUCGCAGAAAUGCCAUUCAGUCGGCUAACAAUGGAUCGAUGCAUUCUCUAUCGAAUAACGAGGCAUUCAAACGACAACUAGUGGUAUUUUCGCGUAGUUGAUACGACGGAUCAUGGCUUGUCUUUUCGUUUCGAUAAAAUUUGUUCGCUUAAAAAAUUGGCUAGAAAAAUUUGCGUGUCUAAAAUAUGCCGGUGGUGCAAUAUUCUAAUUAUCCGCAUAACGUUCGUGACUGUAUCGGUGAUCAAAGGUCCGAUGACUAUCUUUCAAAUAACCUAUCGUGAGGAAUAAUACUGCGGUUUAAUAUCGAAGUGCUUGAAGUACGAUUUUUUAUGUUACGUAUACUUAUCGGAAACAUCACGACAACGUUAUUAUUUAAAAUCGCCGCUUAGGUAAAGUUUAGAUUAGACCGGGAGUUUAUCGAUUAAACAUAUCGUGGCUUUUCAUGGAAAUGUUUCGGUAAGACAAAAAUCAAAUACGUAUCUACAUUUUAAAUGAUCUUAAGUCGAUCGGAAGGGAAAUUUUUGAAAAACUUGUGCGUGCAAUUGGUAAAAUGUAUGAAAAUAAAAUGUGGAAAACUUUCUAGAGAAAAUCUCUUAUUAUCAAUACAAUUGUAUUUAUUAGUGUGUAAACGCAAAAUAUUUAAAAAUUCCAAUUACUCGAGCGUUUUUGCAUCUCUGAUUAAAGUAAAGCGUGAUGACGAUCGUAUCACCAUACUUGUAAUUGUGAUACUAUUUAUCGUGCUAUGAUUGUAUGUUAGUGGUACGAUAAAUAGAGAGAGGAAGAAGAGUAGUUGGAAGAGAAUUUCCAACGAAAAAGACGAACAGUUACACACGUCGUAUUGUACGUAGUGGUGUAAACGUGGUGGUUGCCUUCUUGGUUGCCGGCGUCUGCAACCUUGCCCUCUUCCAUCCCUCCCCCCUGACUUUCAUCCCCUCCAUACACCCUGCAAUCCAUUCGAUCCUUUCCCCUUAUCUCGAUCCAACGCUGUCGCGGUUCUCUUCUUUCUUCCCUCCCACCCUCUGUCUGGCUCCUUCGCUUUGAUUCAUCGAAGUCCUCGCCCCUCGCCUCUUACCCCGCAAUCGUCGACGUUUCCCGGCCUAUUAUCGUCACUCGUCGACGAAGAACGGGAAAGAGGGAACGCGACGGGAAGCAAGAGGGGAGACUUUCCUUUACCUCCACCAACGAGUGUAGGAGUUUCAAUGUCACGAUGCGUCGGCCACUGCGAAGGAACUACCGCUCCAGGAAUAUUACCAUUCAUCAGAUUCGUGUAAUCUCCGUGCACGUUUCGCGUCGCCUCGUUGUUAAUUGGCUUAUACAUUCCUUCGCGUCUUUCAUUUCGUUUGAAUUUCUUUCUUUCAUUUCCUUUCUUUCACGUACGAAGAAAUCGGACGAUAAAAAUAGUCCUCUUCAAUUUAGUGUUCGGACAGUUCUACUUUAUUGUCGGAAACGAUUGAAACGUGUUGCGCGUUAACAAUUUGAUUUAAAGGUGGGAAAAUUGUGCGAAAUUAUCAACUCGAAUCUUAUCUUUUAUUGACUUUUGUGAAUUUCUCAACUAUCUUCCAAUUAUCAAGAAAUUUCUGUAACAGAUGAUAUGAGUUUAAUCAUCGAUAUUAUACGUUAAUAUUUGUGUGAAAAGUUUAUAUUACUAAGCAGUGAUAUUUUAUGUGACAAGUUUAGAUUAGCAAUUAUCGUUGUGAAAAUUGAGCGUAUAAUUUGUUAGAGAUCCAAAAUGCAACGUGGAUUUAUGAUCGAAUUAUACGAAAGUGUAUAAUGUUGUGUAACGAUUGCGAGAAGAGAAAUCUAAGUAACUAAGCAUCGAAUAUUAGAGACUUUGAUCGUUUCUUUAUACGUGUUUAUUAAACGUUUUUCUUUCGAUGACGUUCCUUCGAGACAUUUACAACAACUCCUGUCAUCAAUCGGUUUAUUUAUGCAACGAAUUAACUGGAAUAUCAUAAUGUAACAAGUAUGUGUCGAUAUGUGUUUCUCUGACGUGUCGAAUAACGAUGAGUAACGAACAAUGUCAUGCACAAUUCUUAUUGGGACGCCAAUACGCUUAUACGUGGAUUAAUAUAAAUUAAGUUCAUUGUAAAUCUAUCAAUUAUUUUUUAUGUAAUAUAAAUUUUACUUUAUAGCAUUAAAAGAUAUAAUUUUAAUC
Apis cerana (Asiatic honeybee) is the source of this 8637-nucleotide long non-coding RNA. RefSeq lists it as uncharacterized. NCBI's taxonomy places the organism in Eukaryota, Metazoa, Arthropoda, Insecta, Hymenoptera, Apidae. The record is from RefSeq and is a predicted model, not a curated record.